UUGCAAAUAAUUCAAUAAACUUGC
RNAcentral lists this non-coding RNA (24 nucleotides) under Arabidopsis thaliana (thale cress). Lineage: Eukaryota; Viridiplantae; Streptophyta; Magnoliopsida; Brassicales; Brassicaceae. The record is from RNAcentral.